CAUCUGCGGCAGAGAAUUAUGGCGAUUCUGAGGCAUAGAAAUAUCGCUGUAUUUGGCACAACUUUCCUAGGCAUUUGUACUCUUCGCUAAGCAAAACCCUUGUUUCAAGCCAAGCAUCCAUAGCGACUUGCUUUUUGAUCUUUCGAUGACGGUUCUUCCUAUCAUUGUGAAGCAGACUUCGCCAAGUGUUGGAUUGUUCAACCACCAAUAGAAAAAGUGAGCUUAGUUUAGAUCGUCGUGAGUCAGAUUAAUUUUACCCUAAUGUGAUAUGUUGUUGCAAUAGUAAUCCUGCUCAGCACGAGAGAAAAAACAGGUUCAGACAUUUGAAUCAUUUGCUUGGCCGAUCGGCCAAUGACACGAAGCUAUCAUCUAAGGGAUUAUAGAAUCUCACCUAGACAAGGCAACGAAAAUUUGCUACCCGAUGUCGGGAGGUACUAUUAUGUAAUUAAUGAUUUAUUCGUUUUAUUACAGCUAAUGCCUGAUUAUAUGGUCUUGCUACUCCAUUGAAUGGUUAAAUGGUUGCAAAAAUCGGAUUAUUAUGGUACAAUGUCGGAGCGCAAAAUCACUUGCAGAUGACUUGUUUACUGGUCGAGUAAAGCAGCCUCUACACCGCGAUCUGUUGCGAUCUGUUGCGAUUUAUCCUUGGAUUGAACGAUUU
Molecule: non-coding RNA, 658 nt
Organism: Onchocerca flexuosa
Lineage: Eukaryota; Metazoa; Nematoda; Chromadorea; Rhabditida; Onchocercidae
Source: Rfam